GUUAUAUGGUCAAGUGAAGAAGCGCAUACGGUGGAUGCCUUGGCAGUCAGAGGCGAUGAAAGACGUGGUAGCCUGCGAAAAGCUUCGGGGAGUCGGCAAACAGACUUUGAUCCGGAGAUCUCUGAAUGGGGGAACCCACCUAGGAUAACCUAGGUAUCUUGUACUGAAUCCAUAGGUGCAAGAGGCGAACCAGGGGAACUGAAACAUCUAAGUACCCUGAGGAAAAGAAAUCAACCGAGAUUCCCUUAGUAGUGGCGAGCGAACGGGGAUUAGCCCUUAAGCUUCAUUGAUUUUAGCGGAACGCUCUGGAAAGUGCGGCCAUAGUGGGUGAUAGCCCCGUACGCGAAAGGAUCUUUGAAGUGAAAUCGAGUAGGACGGAGCACGAGAAACUUUGUCUGAACAUGGGGGACCAUCCUCCAAGGCUAAAUACUACUGACUGACCGAUAGUGAACCAGUACCGUGAGGGAAAGGCGAAAAGAACCCCGGAGAGGGGAGUGAAAUAGAACCUGAAACCGUAUGCGUACAAGCAGUGGGAGCCUACUUGUUAGGUGACUGCGUACCUUUUGUAUAAUGGGUCAGCGACUUAUAUUCAGUGGCAAGCUUAACCGUAUAGGGUAGGCGUAGCGAAAGCGAGUCUUAAUAGGGCGUUUAGUCGCUGGGUAUAGACCCGAAACCGGGCGAUCUAUCCAUGAGCAGGUUGAAGGUUAGGUAACACUGACUGGAGGACCGAACCCACUCCCGUUGAAAAGGUAGGGGAUGACUUGUGGAUCGGAGUGAAAGGCUAAUCAAGCUCGGAGAUAGCUGGUUCUCCUCGAAAGCUAUUUAGGUAGCGCCUCAUGUAUCACUCUGGGGGGUAGAGCACUGUUUCGGCUAGGGGGUCAUCCCGACUUACCAAACCGAUGCAAACUCCGAAUACCCAGAAGUGCCGAGCAUGGGAGACACACGGCGGGUGCUAACGUCCGUCGUGAAAAGGGAAACAACCCAGACCGCCAGCUAAGGUCCCAAAGUUGUGGUUAAGUGGUAAACGAUGUGGGAAGGCUUAGACAGCUAGGAGGUUGGCUUAGAAGCAGCCACCCUUUAAAGAAAGCGUAAUAGCUCACUAGUCGAGUCGGCCUGCGCGGAAGAUGUAACGGGGCUCAAACCACACACCGAAGCUGCGGGUGUCACGUAAGUGACGCGGUAGAGGAGCGUUCUGUAAGCCUGUGAAGGUGAGUUGAGAAGCUUGCUGGAGGUAUCAGAAGUGCGAAUGCUGACAUGAGUAACGACAAUGGGUGUGAAAAACACCCACGCCGAAAGACCAAGGGUUCCUGCGCAACGUUAAUCGACGCAGGGUUAGUCGGUUCCUAAGGCGAGGCUGAAAAGCGUAGUCGAUGGGAAACAGGUUAAUAUUCCUGUACUUCUGGUUACUGCGAUGGAGGGACGGAGAAGGCUAGGCCAGCUUGGCGUUGGUUGUCCAAGUUUAAGGUGGUAGGCUGAAAUCUUAGGUAAAUCCGGGGUUUCAAGGCCGAGAGCUGAUGAUGAGUCGUCUUUUAGAUGACGAAGUGGUUGAUGCCAUGCUUCCAAGAAAAGCUUCUAAGCUUCAGGUAACCAGGAACCGUACCCCAAACCGACACAGGUGGUCGGGUAGAGAAUACCAAGGCGCUUGAGAGAACUCGGGUGAAGGAACUAGGCAAAAUGGCACCGUAACUUCGGGAGAAGGUGCGCCGGCUAGGGUGAAGGAUUUACUCCGUAAGCUCUGGCUGGUCGAAGAUACCAGGCCGCUGCGACUGUUUAUUAAAAACACAGCACUCUGCAAACACGAAAGUGGACGUAUAGGGUGUGACGCCUGCCCGGUGCCGGAAGGUUAAUUGAUGGGGUUAGCGCAAGCGAAGCUCUUGAUCGAAGCCCCGGUAAACGGCGGCCGUAACUAUAACGGUCCUAAGGUAGCGAAAUUCCUUGUCGGGUAAGUUCCGACCUGCACGAAUGGCGUAACGAUGGCGGCGCUGUCUCCACCCGAGACUCAGUGAAAUUGAAAUCGCUGUGAAGAUGCAGUGUAUCCGCGGCUAGACGGAAAGACCCCGUGAACCUUUACUGUAGCUUUGCACUGGACUUUGAGCCUGCUUGUGUAGGAUAGGUGGGAGGCUUUGAAGCGUGGACGCCAGUUCGCGUGGAGCCAUCCUUGAAAUACCACCCUGGCAUGCUUGAGGUUCUAACUCUGGUCCGUGAUCCGGAUCGAGGACAGUGUAUGGUGGGCAGUUUGACUGGGGCGGUCUCCUCCUAAAGAGUAACGGAGGAGUACGAAGGUGCGCUCAGACCGGUCGGAAAUCGGUCGCAGAGUAUAAAGGCAAAAGCGCGCUUGACUGCGAGACAGACACGUCGAGCAGGUACGAAAGUAGGUCUUAGUGAUCCGGUGGUUCUGUAUGGAAGGGCCAUCGCUCAACGGAUAAAAGGUACUCCGGGGAUAACAGGCUGAUACCGCCCAAGAGUUCAUAUCGACGGCGGUGUUUGGCACCUCGAUGUCGGCUCAUCACAUCCUGGGGCUGAAGCCGGUCCCAAGGGUAUGGCUGUUCGCCAUUUAAAGUGGUACGCGAGCUGGGUUUAGAACGUCGUGAGACAGUUCGGUCCCUAUCUGCCGUGGACGUUUGAGAUUUGAGAGGGGCUGCUCCUAGUACGAGAGGACCGGAGUGGACGAACCUCUGGUGUUCCGGUUGUCACGCCAGUGGCAUUGCCGGGUAGCUAUGUUCGGAAAAGAUAACCGCUGAAAGCAUCUAAGCGGGAAACUUGCCUCAAGAUGAGAUCUCACUGGGAACUUGAUUCCCCUGAAGGGCCGUCGAAGACUACGACGUUGAUAGGCUGGGUGUGUAAGCGUUGUGAGGCGUUGAGCUAACCAGUACUAAUUGCCCGUGAGGCUUGACCAUAUAACACCCAAACA
RNAcentral lists this ribosomal RNA (2911 nucleotides) under Pseudomonas aeruginosa. RNAcentral's name for it is "bacterial LSU rRNA". It matches the Rfam family "Bacterial large subunit ribosomal RNA". The record is from RNAcentral. Lineage: Bacteria; Pseudomonadati; Pseudomonadota; Gammaproteobacteria; Pseudomonadales; Pseudomonadaceae.